RNAcentral lists this ribosomal RNA (515 nucleotides) under uncultured bacterium. RNAcentral describes it as "partial 16S ribosomal RNA". It matches the Rfam family "Bacterial small subunit ribosomal RNA", at positions 28 to 523 of the family's 1533-position model. The record is from RNAcentral.
GAUGGACGCUGGCGGCGUGCCUAAUACAUGCAAGUCGAGCGAAUGGAUUAAGAGCUUGCUCUUAUGAAGUUAGCGGCGGACGGGUGAGUAACACGUGGGUAACCUGCCCAUAAGACUGGGAUAACUCCGGGAAACCGGGGCUAAUACCGGAUAACAUUUUGAACCGCAUGGUUCGAAAUUGAAAGGCGGCUUCGGCUGUCACUUAUGGAUGGACCCGCGUCGCAUUAGCUAGUUGGUGAGGUAACGGCUCACCAAGGCAACGAUGCGUAGCCGACCUGAGAGGGUGAUCGGCCACACUGGGACUGAGACACGGCCCAGACUCCUCCGGGAGGCAGCAGUAGGGAAUCUUCCGCAAUGGACGAAAGUCUGACGUAGCAACGCCGCGUGAGUGAUGAAGGCUUUCGGGUCGUAAAACUCUGUUGUUAGGGAAGAACAAGUGCUAGUUGAAUAAGCUGGCACCUUGACGGUACCUAACCAGAAAGCCACGGCUAACUACGUGCCAGCCGCCGCAGUAA